ACUCCUACGGGAGGCAGCAGUAAGGAAUAUUACGCAAUGGACGAAAGUCUGACGCAGCGACGCCGCGUGGGGGAUGAAGGUCUUCGGAUUGUAAACCCCUUUCGGGAGGGAAGAUGGAGUGGGUAACCACUUGGACGGUACCUCCAGAAGCAGCCACGGCUAACUUCGUGCCAGCAGCCGCGGUAAUACGAAGGUGGCAAGCGUUGUUCGGAUUCACUGGGCGUACAGGGAGCGUAGGCGGUUGGGUAAGCCCUCCGUGAAAUCUCCGGGCCUAACCCGGAAAGUGCAGAGGGGACUGCUCAACUAGAGGAUGGGAGAGGAGCGCGGAAUUCCCG
Molecule: ribosomal RNA, 335 nt
Filed under: uncultured bacterium
Lineage: Bacteria
Description: bacterial SSU rRNA
Rfam family: Bacterial small subunit ribosomal RNA
Source: RNAcentral